UUUUAAUUACAUUUUCAAUUUCAUUGGUUGAUACUGUGUUGUUCAGAAUUUUCAGGUCUUCUUCAUUCAACUUUGGUAAUUCAUAUGUAUCUAGGAAUCUGUCCAUUUCUUCUGUGUUGUCCAUCUUAUUGGGUUCUGGAAGUAGGUAUUGAUGAUCCUGUGGAUUUGUGCUGGGUCUGUUGUAAUUUCACCCUUUUCAUUCCGAAUUGCAUGGAUUUGGGCCUUUUCUUUCCUUUUUCUGACAAGGUUGGCUAAAGGUUUGUUGAUUCUUUUGAAGAACCAACUCUUGGCUUCAUUGAUUUUUUUGUAUUGUUCUCUUGGUCUCCAUUGCAUUGAUUUCUCCUCUGAUCUUUAUAAUUUCCUCCCUUGUAUGAGCUCUGGGGUUGUCCUGCUCUUCUUUUUCUAGAAGCUUGAGGUUCAGCAUCAGGCUGUUUAAUUGGACUCAUUCUGUUUUCCUAAUAUGCAUAUUCACUGCUAUGAAUUUCCCUCCUAAGACUGCUUUCAUUGUGUCCCAUAGAUUCUGAUACAUUGUAUUGUCAUUGUCAUUUAAUUGAAGGAACUGUCUGAUUUCUUCUUUAAUUUCCUGUGUGACCCAUUGGUUAUUCAGAAGUGUGUUGUUCAAUUUCCAUGUGUUUAUGAAAUUUUUUGAGUUUCUUUUGCUAUGGAUCUCCAAUUUCAUUGCACUAUGGUCUGAUAAUAUACAGGGGAUAACUUCAAUUCCUUUGCACUUACUUAAACAUGUUCUAUGUGUGAGUAUGUGGUCUAUUUUGAGAAUGACCCAUGUGCAGCUGAGAAGAAUGUGUAUUCUGAUUUUGUGGGAUGCAAGACUCUGUAAACAUCUAUUAAGUUCAUUUGUUCAAGAGUUCGAUUGAGUUCUAGUAUUUCAUUACUUAUUUUUAGUCUAGUUGAUCUAUCUAUUUGUGACAGUGGGGUGUUGAGGUCCCCCACUACAAUUGUAUUAGUGCAUAUAUGGCUUUUCAUGUCCGUUAGUAUUUGUUUUAUAUAGUUGGGUGCACUAGUGUUUGGUGCAUAGAUAUUUAUGAUUGUCAUCUCUUCCUCUUGGAUUCUUCCCUUUACAAGGAUGUAGUGUCCUUCUUUGUCUCUCUUAAUCAGGGUUGGUUUGAAAUCUACUUGAUCUGCCAAGAGGAUAGCUACUCCUGCUUUUUUGGGGGUUCCUGUCACAUCCAGUAUUGUUUUCCACCCUUUAAGUUUCAGUCUGUGAGUUUCCUUUUGAAUUAAGUGUGUUUCUUGUAUGCAGCAUAUUGUUGGAUUUUGCUUCUUGACCCAUUCUGCCAGUCUGUUUCUUUUGAUUGGUCAAUUGAGACCAUUAACAUUGAUGGUUAUAACUGAAAUGUAUUGACUUGUCAUUGCCAUGAUUUUUUCUUUUUGUUGGGUUCUCCCCCUUUCCAUUUAAUUUCUUGUCAUGCCAGAUGGGUUCAUUCUGCUUUGCUUCCUGGAGUUGUGAUCCUCAAUGUCUGUUCCUAGGAUAUUGUCUAAAAUUUUUUGGAGUGCUGGUUUGGUAUUAAUGAAGUUCCUGAGGUGCUCUUUGUCAUGAAAGUAUCUUAUUUCUCCAUGAAUUUUGAAAGAUAGUUUUGCAGGGUACAUCAAUCUGGGUUGGAGGCUGUUUUCUUUUAGGGCUUGCAAUAUGUCACUCCAAGCUCUUCUUGCCUUGAGGGUUUGUGAUGAGAAGUCUGCUGUGAUUCUGAUGGGCUUUCCUUUGUAUGUGAUUUGUUUCUUUUCUCUGACUGCUUGGAGAACUUUGUUUUUCUGUUGAGUUUCUGGAAUCUUAACAAUUAUAUGCCUAUGUGUAGUUUUGUUUUGAUCAAGGCUAUUUGGAGUCCUAUAUGCCUCACUUAUCUGUAUGUCAAGCUCUUUUCCCCUGCUUGGGAAGUUUUCUGCCAUUAUUUCUGUGAAGAGAUUUUUUAUGUCAUCUGCACUCUCUCCUGUUUCUUCAUUGACUCCAAUCAGUCUUAUGUUAUUCUUUUUUGCAUCAUCUAGCAGCUGCUGGAUUGAUUUCUCAUGUUCCCUUAUAAUUUUGAAGCAAUUUUUUUUUCCUGGUCACUAAUUGCAAUUUUAUCUUCUGUAUCUGAAAUUCUGUCCUCACAUUGGCUCAUUCUGCUGUGUAGACUUUCAAUGGAGUUUUUCAUGUCCUGGAAAUCUAUUUGCAUCUGUUUUAUGGAUUCCAUUUGUUUCUUAUGUUGGGAUUCCAUCAUGUUCCUUAGCUCCUCUCUAGAGUUAUUAAUCAUGUCUUGCACUAGGGGCCCAAUUUCUCCUGUUAUCUGAGAAAUUAUUUCUGAUUUCAUUUUUUCCAGAUCCCCUUUUGUUUCCAGUUCAGUGGGUCCAGGUGGUUGAGUAUCAGAGUGUUCCAUCUCAUUUCCCUUUGGAGUUGCUGUAGGUGAUCUGGAAGUCUGGUUUUGAGACUUAUUUAUGUGUUUUCUCAUUUCGACUGGGGCGGAGGCCUUUUAGCACCUGCACGGAUUACCUCCUCUGAGCUGGGUGAGGUGGGACAGGGAUGGUGACCCAAAAGCCCUUUCCUGUGGCCUGGGAGCAGCCGGAGGGAUGGUGGCUGGGAUACCGCUUCCUCUGGACCAGGAGCAGUGGAAUGGUGGCUCAGAAGCCCCUUCCUCUGGGCUAGGAGCAGCUGGACAGAAGGUGGCCCAAAAGCCCUUUCCUGUGGGCUGGGAGCAGCGGGAGGGAUGGUUACCAGGAAGCCCCUUCCCCCGGGCCAGGAGCAGUGGGACGAUGGCUCAGAAGCCCCUACCUCUGGGCCGGGAACAGUGGGACUCAGUACCUUGGUCUGGUGGUCUGGUGUCCUCUGUGUCUUUGUAGUGUGGAAUCAGGUGGCUGCCUGUCUGCAGCAGGGUGAUUCAGUGUCUUCCACAGGACUCAGGACCUCGGUAGGGCGUGCACAGACCUGCCUGUCUGCAGCGGACUGAUUCGGCAUGUUUUGUUUGACUCAGGACCUCAGUAGGGCAUGGGCAGACCUGCCUGUCUGCAGCGGGGUGAUUAGGUGUCUUCCGCAUGACUCAGGACCUCGGUAGGGCAUGCACAGACCUGCCUGUCUGCAGUGGGCUGAUUUGGCGUGUUCUGUAAGACUCAGGACAUUGGUAGGGCAUGGGCAGACCUGUCUGUCUGCAGCAGGGUGAUUAGGCAUCUUCUGCAGGACUCAGGACCUCAGUAAGGUGUGCACAGGCUUGUCUGUCUGCAGCGGGCUGAUUCUGCGUGUGUUCCAUGGGAUUGGGGACCUUGGUCACAGGGAGAGUCUUUAAUAGAGACUGGGGUGGAGUUUGUAGGGGCUGAGGUGGGGUUGAGUGAGGUAGUCCAACUUUCUAGUAUUAAGGACCUAUUCCAGAAUAUGAAAUACUGGAACUGCUUGAUUUCUGUAUCAUUCCUCUGGGGAAAACAUUGAUAACUACUUUUAUUAUUUUGUCCAUUGUCAUUCCACGUACAUCUAAAAGUAUUCAUUGUUGGUAUGGAUUCAACUUGUAGAGGUUAUUAUGCUGUUGUCAAUUUUCUGAAAAUAAUGUUUAAGAUAAUUCUGUUAUCCUAAGGCUGAUAUUGUUCUACUGGUAAACAAGGAGGUUGUUUAAAAAUGUCAUGAAAUACAUUGAAAUACAGUUUGAAAUAAAGGUUUAGUUGAAAUAUUUAGAGUUGUGCAACUAGUUUCCAUAUUAAUCAAUCCCUUGUCCUUUAAUACCUAGCUAAAUUUUUCUUUAAUUUUCAAGAAAAGCAGUUCUUUUUUUUUAUUUUUGUAGACAUGUAAGACAUUUUUAAAUUUAUCAUUAGCAGGCUAAUUGAGUGUUAAAUAUUGAUCAGAAAAUAGUUUUAAUGCCUACAGUAAAUGAGACACUUUACAUGAAUCUAUAUCCCAUAGUGGUUUGUUUUUUUGGGUUUUUUUUUUUUGGUACCGGGGAUCGAACUCAGGUCCUUGUGCUUGAGCAGCAGGCAGCGAAACCACUGAGCUAAAUCCCCGGCCCAAUCCCAUAGUGUUUUUAUUUGAAAGCUUACCUUAAUUUUAUUAAUUAGGAGCUGAAGAUCAGGGAUAUAAACUUACUCAAAUACAUAUAACUAGUGUAGAGAAAUCCCAGAUCUAAACUCAAAUCUAUCACAUUCAAAUGAGAUAUCAUGUUUUCUUCCCUAAUGCCAACCUCAAGUCCCCAAACCCAUGAUGUUAUUUUGGUAUAUUGCCAAUGAAUUUCUCCAAGUGAUUAAUCUUUUCUGUCUUUCAAGAUAGGAAUUAUUUAAAAUGUGGACUAGUGCUUUAUCUUUGGCCAUAUUUGUACUUUUCCAAACUUGAAUUUGGCCCCUAAUAAUAUUUUAGGAUUUCAUGAAUACUUCUAUGAUUAUCCUAAUCUUAAAUUAUACGUAUAACAUCAUUGUUUAAUAGAUCAGGAUUCAAUGCUCUAUCUUAACUUUCAGAGACUUUCAGACCCUAUUUACACUGUGCAUCUUCUGGUUAUAAUAUUAGAUACAUCACUUUCUGUUAAUGCCUUUGUGGGUUGUGGAGACUGGAAAUGUAUCAGAUGCCCAUUCAAAGAGAUCAAAACUUUAUGUAAAAAUAAGCAAACCUUUCUAGAUUGUUUUCUGUACACUGAAUGAGUCUCAAUGUUUUAUUAGUCUUUUUUGGUUACAGGUUCAUAGAAAGUUAAUACCAUUAGGAAAUAGUUCAGCAUGAUUCAUAAAUUAUAUUUUGAGUGGUAUCUAAUAUAUCAAAAUGAUUGCUUUAAAGUAUUUUUUACUUUCCUCCAGAAUCCCUGCCUUGCUUUUGUCCUUAUUCAGAAUAAUAGCUAAGGUUUGUCUGAUAUCUUUCAUUUGUGAAGCCCUACAUGAGACAGUUCAUAUAACUUGCUUCAGUAAGUCUUCUACAAUGUGGUACACACACUUUCUAUAUUUUACAGAUUAAGAAACUGAGGCUUGCACUUCUGCUUUCUGCUUAUUCACCCCAACCGAAUGAAAUCUUCUGACUGGUUAUCUUUUUUGAUUUGAGUGUCACUGCUUGUGUGAGAUUUUAUUCUCUACUUUGGCGGGAGGGGGGGGAUCAUUGAAAAAAUUAUGAAUCGGGAAAGGUUACAAAACUAAUCCAUAAAAAGUAUUUUAUUGACUUGUUUACUAAAUACCAGGAAUUAUUCUAUAUGCUGUUAUGUAGUUAUGUUAGGUAGCUUCUAAGAUGGCAUCCACUGAUCUCUACAUUCAUUAGCCACAUUUUUGUAUAUAUUUCUCUUCCUUUAUUACUGCUGGACUUGAUUUACUUCAAAUACAAGGUACAAAAGAUGAGAUAAAACAUAUAAGAUUAAAUUUUUUUAAAUGGUUGUGACUUUCACCUUGAGUGCCUCUCUUAGUCUCUCCUGAUUGAUUUCCCUGGAGAAAGUCAAAUAACCAUUUUCUGAGACAGCCUUGUAGAGACACCCACAUGGCAAGAGACUGAGCUGCCAACAACUAAGGGAGUGAAUUUGGAAGUGUGUUGCUCACUUUAAUGACACUUCAGAUGGAACCACAGCUCAUAAAAUAGGCAAAAAAGAACAGGGAAUAGUGGCAGGAGAUCAGAUAAGAUAGAUGGGCACAAACUGGUAAUGAAGGGUCUCAGUUUUCAUUUUUAAUUUUAUUCUUAUUUCAACAUAUACACAUUGUAGGAUUUUAUGCAUGGAGAUUAUUUUAUCUGCCCUGAAUUUUAAGAAUACUGUGGUUUCUCGAUAAUAAAAUAUCUACCAACUAAGAAAAGUCCAGGUCCCAGUGGAUUCACUGCUGGAUUCUAUAAAGACAUCAGAGAAGAUCAUAUGACAAUACUCUUCAAACUCUUUAAUGUAAUUCAACAGGAAAAAAUGCUUCAAAAGUUAUUCGGGAAGCUAGAAUUACCCUGAUUCCAAAACCAGACAAGGAUCCAACUAAAAAAGAGAACUACAGGCCAAUCUCUUUAAAGAAUAUAGACACAAAAAUCCUCAACAAGCUACAAUGUAUUGGCAAACAGAAUGCAGCAGGUCAUCAUAAAGAUCAUACAUCAUUACCAAUUCAGCUUUAUCCCAGAGAGGCAAGGAUGGUUCAACAUAUGCAAAUCAAUAAGUGAAAUACAUCAGAUAAACAGAAAAGGACAAAAAUCACAUGAUCAUCUCAACGGAUGCAUAAAAAGCAUUUGAUAAAAUCCGAAAUCGAUUCAUGAUAAAAAUUCCUGAAGAAAAUAACCUCAAUAUGAUAAAUAUCUCAAUCUGAAAAAAGCCAUUUAGGACAGGCCUGCUACCAACAUCAUAUUACAUAGGGAAAAUCUGAACCUUUCCCAUAAAAUUAGAAAUAAGACAAGGAUGUCCACUAUCACCACUCUGGUUCAUUGCAGCACUUGAAAACAUUAGUCAGAGCAAUCAGGCCAACAAAAUAAAAGGGGUAUAUAUAUAUAUAUAUAUAUAUAUAUAUAUAUAUAUAUAUACACAUACAUACAUAUAUAUACACAUAUAUACAUAUAUAUACAUAUAUAUACAUAUAUAUGAAAGAGAUCAAAUUAUUAUUAUCUCCAGACAACAUGAUCCUCUACAUAAAAGACUCCAAAAAAAUUGUACAGAAAGACUGUUAGAGUUAACCAAAUUCAACAAUGUAGCAGGAUACAAAAUCAGCAUACAAAGAGUGUUUUCUACCAAUGAUGCACUCACUGAGAAAGAAAUUAUAAAACAGUGUCAUAUGCAAUAGUGUCAAGAAAAAUUAAACAGUUAAGAAUUAACUUAACCAAGGGAAUAAAAGAUGUCUAAAACAAAACUUACAGUACUCUGAAAAAGGAAAUUGAAGAGAACAUCAGAAAAUGGAAACCUAUCCCCUGUUCCUACUUAGCCAGAACGAGUAUAACCAAAGUGGUUAUACUUUCAGAACCUAUAUACAGAUUUAACACAAUCCCAAUCAAAAUAUCAGUACUUUUCACAGAUCAAAUAAAACAAUCCUAAAAUUUAUAUGGAAUCAGAUGAGACCCAGAAUAACAACAGAAAUCCUGUGUAAGAAAAGCAAAGCAGGAAGGUGUUGAUUUCAAGUUACAUUACAAAGCUACAGUGAUAACGAACAGGAUGAAUCUGAUGCUGGCAAAAAAAACAGCAGGGAGUGGAGGGACAGGGGUAAAAAAGAAUUGAGAUGUGUUGUGUACAUAUACCAAUUUCCCACAAUGAAUGUAAUAAUUAUGUACUGCAAACAUUACUAAUUUUUUUUUAACUAGCAUGGUACUGAUACAAAAAACAGACACGUAGAUAAAUAGAACAGAGUAACAGAUGCACAAACAACUGUAGGAACAUUCAGUUUCUGUGCAGCAAAGGAAAUAACCAACAAGGUGAAGAGACAACCCACAGAAUGGGAAGAAGAUUUUGGAAGCUAUUCCUUGGACAGAGAACUAAUAUCUAGAAGAUAUUAAAAAACUCAAAAAAAUUAGACCCCCAAAAUACAAGACUCAAUCAAAAAAUGGGCACCUGAAAUGAAUAUACACUCUGCAGAAGUUUAAAGAGCCAGUAAAUACAUGAAAAGUGUCAACAUCUCUGCCCAUUAAAGAAAUUGCAAAUGAGUAUUACUCUGAGAUUCUAUCUUACUCCAGAAAGAAUGGUUGUUAUCAAGAAAUCAAUAAUAACAAAUGCUGGCAAGGCUGUGGGGAAAAAUGAGCCCUUGUACAUUGUUGGUGGGAGUGUAAACUAAUACAACCAUUAUGAAAAUCAGUAUGGAGAUUCCUUAAAAAAAUAGAAAUAGAAGUCCAUUUGAUAUCUUUCCAAAAGAGUUACACAUUAUAUUACAGUGAUACAUGAAUAUCUAUGUUUAUAGCAGCACAAUUCAUAAUAGCUAAAUCUUGGAAGCAGCCCAUAGGUCCAUCAACUGAUGAUUGGAUAAAGAAAAUUUGGUAUUUAUACACAAUAAUGUACUGCUUGGCUAUAAAGAAGUACAAACUUGAGUUAUUUGUAGGAAAUCGGAUGUACCUAGAGACCAUAAUAUCAAGUGAAAUAAAUCCAGACACACAAGAUUAAAUAUGGUAUGGUUUCUUUUAUAUGAGAAGCCCAACUUAUGCAGAGCAAAAUUAAAGUUAGGUAUUAGGGAUAUAGAUCUUUUGUAAGUGGGAGGGGACCAAGAGAUGGAAAGAGGAGGAAGGGAAAAGGAAUGGGAUGAAAAGUUAAUUAAGAUAUUUUUUGUACAUGUACCAACUUCCCAUAAGGAAUGUAAUCAUUAUAUUAUGCAAACAUAUCCUAAUAAAAAAUAAAAAUUAAAUAAAAAAGAGAAUACUGUAGCUUCUGUGUAGAUAAUGAAUUGCAAAGGGCACCAAUGGAAGCAGAGAACUCAAUUAGGAGAUCAGACAAGAGAUAAUUGUGAUGUGAGUUUGGGAGAGUAGAGAUGGUAAGAAAUGACUGGUGUGGGGUAUGUUUUGGGAGUUGAGAUAAUGAGUCUCACUGAGGGAUUUGAUGUGGUAGAUGAGGCAAAAAGAACCCCUGGUAUUUGGCCUGAUCAAAUGGGUGGCAAGUGGUACCUGUCACUGAGAUGGGGGAGCGCUGACGUGGAUUAGAAGAGGAAUUGUCACAUGGAUGCUCUAGAAUCCAGAGUUUUUAAAAUCUUUACAAUGAAAUUUUGUCAAGAGCUAUUUGAAUACUUAAAUAAUACGCACUGGCUCCCUUUUUUUCAGUAUACUUGUGUUAAUCAGACAUUUCUCUUAUGGAAUGAUAUAAAAUCCAAUGAGGAAAAUAUCAGGGUAGUGUUUUGAGUAUACCUCAUUAAAACAUAAAUAUAAGAUAACUUUUGAACUUUCCUUGAUCCAGACUUUGUUAUAUCAUAUCUUUCUAUAUUCACUAGUAGUUCAUUCAUUUAUUCAUUCAUGCCACAUCACUCACCUUAAAAGUUUGCAUCAGCUUUUCUAUAAGUCCUGUAAGUGCAGUAGGGAGUUUGAGUAGAUCAUUGUUUCUCUUCUAUAAACAUUAUAGUGAGAAUAGAUAACUAAGGUUAUAUAGGUGCAUUUGCUCCAUAAGCAAAGUAAUUAGAGAACUCCAGAGGAUAUGUUAUUAAUAUGAGUAGUGUUUUGUAAUGAGAGAGCAAGCAGCUAUUAAACUUAAUGUCUUAAAGAACUUUAAAAAGAAAUAAAUUUUAAAAAGCUAAAUUUCAUCUAGCUUAAACAUAAGUACCUGGAAUGAGUAGUUGUGAAAAAUGUCUUUAGGUGUUUAUGUGUUGCCAAAUAUUAAUGAUUCUCUAGCCCAUUGGAAAAUUUGAUUACCAAAAUAUGAGAAACUAAGGGGUUUAAUUUGAUAUGCUAAUUCUGAGCAGAAUAUGUAUUGCUGCUGCUGUGCAUUGUGAGAUACUAGUAUUAACUGGUAUAUUAUAAAAUUAAAUUGUAUUCUAUAGCUCAUUGUAUUGUUCCAUCAGAUUUUGAUAUCCUAAUUUUAAAUAAUUCAUGGGAAGAAAUGUUCACUUCAUAAUGCCACAAACUCACAGCAGGCAAAACUAAUUUUACACAAUAUGAAAACAGAUUUUAUUUAUUUAAAAGGAAUAUUUAAAAAACAUAACAACAACUUUUUUGACACCAGCUGCUGGGAAAUAAAUAGAAUACUUUAUGACAAAAAAUUCUAAGUCUAUAAAAGCUGUUCCUGGGAGGCCAAAUUGAGAAUUGUAAAGAUACAUUUAACUGUCCUGGUCAAUGCUGUAAGCCUUAUUUUGAGUAAAAAGGACCUUCUCUUCUUGCUUAUUGUCUGUAUAGAAAGGAGUACAGGUAGAAAAUUAGCUUAUAAAACAGUCCUUACAUCUACUACAUAAUGCCAACCAAGUCUAAGCUUUAUGCAUCAUUUCAAAGAUCCUCUGUUAGCCUAGAUAGUAUUGAUAGGUAAAUAAUAACUAGUGUCCUUAAAUACAAACUAAAAAAAUAAUGGUUACCUUUUUUUCAAAUCAGACCUUGACUACAAGUGAAAAAUAAAAUUUUGAAGUGACCAGAACAAUUUUCCUUUUUGUGGCUUUAAGGGUGGAAAGAGAAAAUACAGUGGAAAUGUAAUGACACUGUUUGCUUUGGGAGACUUUAUUAGGUGGACAUUUUUAUAUAAAUAUCACACUUUUUAUAUCAUGAAUAAAGUAUCUAACUUGCUGCUCAUUUUGAUACUAACUUCACAUCUGAUGCAAUCAGAUGCUGGCCUCAGAAAAAGAACAGGACCCGUGCCAUGAGUGGGACUAAGUUUAAUCUUAGGAGCACAAGGGCCAAGACCUCCUGGGUGUGUGAAGACAGGAAUUGAAGGUCAGACAAAAGAGGAAAAAGACAGUGGAGUCUAAAAGAAUCAGAUAUUUUACCCUCAAAGAAAUGAAAACACAUUGUGUUGGUAAAAUAAAUGUUGCUUAUUGAAUUUUUCCUUUUAAGAAACGAUUACCUUAAAAAACUCCUGCAGAUUGUGGCAAUGUAAAUCUAAGGCUAACGGGCUGACUCACCAGCAGAAGUUUAUUAUUAUCUCUGAUAACAGCUGAAUUCCAGUCUUCUUUGUGUUCUGUAAAAUGGAGCAGAUUUGUAUAUCCAUGAUGUCAUAGGCAUCAUUGGAAGGGCUUGUAUCUGGUUUUGUUAUAAGUUUCCUUCAUAAUAAGUUAUAAAUUAGGAGUUAGAACAUCAUUGUAGAUUUUAAAGGGUUAGAAAUUUAGAGGGACCAGAGUUUGGUGCUAUCAUUCUUUAACUUUUCCUCAUAUGUACUAAUGUAACUGCGAUUUUAAAUGUUCAGAAGGUGUUACCAGACUCUUUAUGAGGGUGAUGUUUUCAGUAGCUCUCUGUGUUUGUUAGAGGCAAUAGCACAUACAGAGAUAAUGAGUUUCCUUACCCUUAAUGUUUCAGUGCAGUCUAAUGUGUGAAUUAGCAAGUGUGCUUUGGGGAUAAUUGGAAGAGCAUUGGGAUUCCAAUACUGAAAGGCUAAGUUCAAAGUCUAGAUGAAUUCUACUUGCUAGUUGUUGACCUUCUGUAACUCACUUCAACUUUUUUGUACCUCAUUUUUCUUUUUAUCUAUAAAAUGGGGUUAACAAUAAAAUUCUUUUGACAUUCAGUGAAAAAAUAAGAAAGUUCAGGAAAUGUUAAAAUUGUAUAUAUAAAAUGUUCAUUCAUUCCAAUUAAUAAAUACUAUAUAAAAAUUCUUUCUAAAAAUACUGUUAAAAUUUAAGGGUUAAUGUGUGUAUGUAAUGUAAUAUGUGUAACAAUGAAUCCAUUUCUGCUGAAUGUUUUGCUGUAACACAAUCAGAAUUAUAAUGCAAACAUUAAAUAAACUAAGAUGGUAAACAAAUAUUGGUAUUAAAACAAGCUGAGUUAUACUGAAAUGUUAUUUUAGUAAAUCAAUAUGUAUGGGCCAAACUAUUUUAUGUGUAGAAGAGAUAUAUAAUUUUAGAAUUCUACUAAAAAUGAAAAAAAUAAAACUAGAAAUCCACAAAUUUCUAAUUCCUGUGAUGUUCCUAAGGUUUCAGUAUUCUAGAAUAUAAAGUUCACUUUCUUUUACUGAAACCUUAGUUUUAUUUCAGCAUCAAACUUUUCUUUGUAAUGCAAGGACUAUAUACACUAAGAGCUAAACAUCAUUUAAACAGAAUGAGUCAAAGGCCAUAUUACUUUUAUGAAAUUGUACAUUCUAAAAUAAGUUUAAUCUCCUUUCUACUUUUCAGACUGAUUCUACAAGGGCUGACUAAAAAAUAUAAUGAAUGUUUAAAUUUUAAAAAAUUAUUACAAUAAAAGACACAUUACCAUUAAUUUUCUUCAAAAUACCUCCUCCUUUCAUCAAAUACACUUAUCCAGUUAUUCUUGCCACUUUCUGAAAUAGUUCUGGAAGUCCUUUUUCAUGUCUUUAAUGAGUUAUGAUCAGGAAUACAGUGAAUUUUGCUGCUGAAUAUCAUCCAGUGGAAAAGCAGGCUUGUAAAAACCUUAUGGUGUGUCCUCAUUUACCUUAUUCACCAGAUCUGGAGCUGACUUCUAGCUCUUCCCCCAAAGUCAAAAUGACAAUGAAAGCUAAACAUUUUUCAAUUUAUUCAGGACAUCAAAGGAGCCAUGACAACAUGAAUAAAGACAAGUAAAGGAUUUCCACGAAUGUUUCAGAAAGUGGCAAGAGUGAUAGGAUAAGUGUGAGGACAAGUAUUUUAAGGGGGAUUGAAGGUAAUACAUCUUUUACUGUAAUAAUUUUUUAUUUAAAUGUACUAUUUUUUAUCAUAUCUCAUAUAAGUCAAUCAUCAAACACAGAAUAGUGGUCUAAAAUUUGUGAGCUUUCAUAUCAGAACAGGAAUAUCUCUUUCUAUGGGGUGUAAGGAGGUUCAUUCAGUGCACAAAUACAGUAUAUUAUAUUUGAAAUAUGAUAGCUGUCUUUACAAUUAAGAACACUUAAUCUAUGUUGAUUUGGGGCAUAGAGAACUUUAGAAAUAGAAAAGAUAUUUCCAGACUUUCAGGAAUAUAACCAUGUCAUUUGUAUUUAUAGAAUGACACGUCAUGGUUAGUUACAGCAUUUUAAAAAUCAUGUCAUUAGUGAACGUGGGGUGGUUGACCCUUCGUUAUCUUAGGGAAUUUUCACACUGAUAAUAAUUGCCUUUAUAUUGAUAGUAGUCAUCAUGCCUUCAUUAAAUCUGGAGAUGAACAGC
Molecule: long non-coding RNA, 12555 nt
Filed under: Heterocephalus glaber (naked mole-rat)
Lineage: Eukaryota; Metazoa; Chordata; Mammalia; Rodentia; Bathyergidae
Description: lncRNA (ENSHGLG00000036179.1)
Source: RNAcentral